RNAcentral lists this unclassified non-coding RNA (238 nucleotides) under uncultured Clavulina. RNAcentral describes it as "sequence contains ITS2". The record is from RNAcentral. Lineage: Eukaryota; Fungi; Basidiomycota; Agaricomycetes; Cantharellales; Hydnaceae.
AAUUUCUCAAGCUUGGAUGGAUUUUUUCUGUCCUUAGUUUGGUUGUUGGGCUUUGCCGUGUCCCUUCAUUGGAACGGCUGGCCUUAAAAGCAUCAGCUGAUCCUCGUGUGGCACUGGUUCUACUCAGCGUGAUAACAUUCUGAUCGUUGAGGACAUCUUUUGGGAUGGCCGGUCUUCAUUUGGGUUGCUUCUAAACCUGGUUUUUACAGUUUGUUUCAAUCUGUAUUCCACUUUUCAA